This 76-nucleotide transfer RNA is filed under the name Gonoessa clavata. Its description in RNAcentral is "tRNA-Val". The record is from RNAcentral. Lineage: Eukaryota; Metazoa; Arthropoda; Diplopoda; Polydesmida; Xystodesmidae.
CAUAUUAAAGUUUAUUUUUGAAUUUUUCUUUUACACUGAAAAGGCCUCUUUGAGUAAUAUGAUAAUUAUGUUUUGG